ACGGGAGGCAGCAGUGGGGAAUAUUGGACAAUGGGGGAAACCCUGAUCCAGCGACGCCGCGUGAGUGAAGAAGUAUUUCGGUAUGUAAAGCUCUAUCAGCAGGGAAGAUGAUGACGGUACCUGACUAAGAAGCCCCGGCUAACUACGUGCCAGCAGCCGCGGUAAUACGUAGGGGGCAAGCGUUAUCCGGAUUUACUGGGUGUAAAGGGAGCGUAGGCGGCCAGACAAGUCAGAUGUGAAAGCCCGGGGCUCAACCCCGGGACUGCAUUUGAAACUGUAGGGCUAGAGUACUGGAGAGGCAAGCGGAAUUCCUAGUGUAGCGGUGAAAUGCGUAGAUAUUAGGAGGAACACCAGUGGCGAAGGCGGCUUACUGGACGAUAACUGACGUUGAGGCUCGAAAGCGUGGGGAGCAAACAGGAUUAGAUACCCUGGUA
RNAcentral lists this ribosomal RNA (434 nucleotides) under uncultured Clostridium sp. RNAcentral's name for it is "partial 16S ribosomal RNA". It matches the Rfam family "Bacterial small subunit ribosomal RNA", at positions 341 to 792 of the family's 1533-position model. The record is from RNAcentral. Lineage: Bacteria; Bacillati; Bacillota; Clostridia; Eubacteriales; Clostridiaceae.